Molecule: small RNA, 22 nt
Filed under: Arabidopsis thaliana (thale cress)
Lineage: Eukaryota; Viridiplantae; Streptophyta; Magnoliopsida; Brassicales; Brassicaceae
Description: ATSL170980
Source: RNAcentral
UACAGUCUCUAGCUAUGUGUCC